AGUGAACGCUGGCGGUAGGCCUAACACAUGCAAGUCGAACGGCAGCACAGUAAGAGCUUGCUCUUACGGGUGGCGAGUGGCGGACGAGUGAGGAAUACAUCGGAAUCUACUUUUUCGUGGGGGAUAACGUAGGGAAACUUACGCUAAUACCGCGUACGACCUACGGGUGAAAGCAGGGGAUCUUCGGACCUUGCGCAAUUGAAUGAGCCGAUGUCGGAUUAGCUAGUUGGCGGGGUAAAGGCCCACCAAGGCGACGAUCCGUAGCUGGUCUGAGAGGAUGAUCAGCCACACUGGAACUGAGACACGGUCCAGACUCCUACGGGAGGCAGCAGUGGGGAAUAUUGGACAAUGGGCGCAAGCCUGAUCCAGCCAUACAGCGUGGGUGAAGAAGGCAUUCGGGUUGUAAAGCCCUUUUGUUGGGAAAGAAAAGCAGCAGGUUAAUACCCCGCUGUUCUGACGGUACCCAAAGAAUAAGCACCGGCUAACUUCGUG
RNAcentral lists this ribosomal RNA (492 nucleotides) under uncultured bacterium. Its description in RNAcentral is "partial 16S ribosomal RNA". It matches the Rfam family "Bacterial small subunit ribosomal RNA", at positions 29 to 507 of the family's 1533-position model. The record is from RNAcentral.